RNAcentral lists this ribosomal RNA (497 nucleotides) under uncultured bacterium. RNAcentral's name for it is "partial 16S ribosomal RNA". It matches the Rfam family "Bacterial small subunit ribosomal RNA", at positions 28 to 507 of the family's 1533-position model. The record is from RNAcentral.
GAUGAACGCCGGCGGCGUGCCUAAUACAUGCAAGUCGAGCGAACAGACGAGGAGCUUGCUCCUCUGACGUUAGCGGCGGACGGGUGAAUAACACGUGGAUAACCUACCUAUAAGACUGGGAUAACUUCGGGAAACCGGAGCUAAUACCGGAUAAUAUAUUGAACCGCAUGGUUCAAUAGUGAAAGACGGUUUUGCUGUCACUUAUAGAUGGAUCCGCGCCGCAUUAGCUAGUUGGUAAGGUAACGGCUUACCAAGGCAACGAUGCGUAGCCGACCUGAGAGGGUGAUCGGCCACACUGGAACUGAGACACGGUCCAGACUCCUACGGGAGGCAGCAGUAGGGAAUCUUCCGCAAUGGGCGAAAGCCUGACGGAGCAACGCCGCGUGAGUGAUGAAGGUCUUCGGAUCGUAAAACUCUGUUAUUAGGGAAGAACAAAUGUGUAAGUAACUAUGCACGUCUUGACGGUACCUAAUCAGAAAGCCACGGCUAACUACGUG